GAUUGGACAUGUCUAAAACUCAACAGCAACCUUGCAGGGAAAGGGAAACAAAUACUCCCCAUAUUCAUUUGUCCUUCACUGAAUUCAGUCACAGUGCUGUUUUCUUUGCUUCUUCUCCAUGCACUGUUCUCUAUAGUAUGUGCAAUCACUUGCCUGCCAUUGCCCUGCAAAAUCACUACUACUUUAAUUACCAUCACUUUCUUAAC
RNAcentral lists this long non-coding RNA (206 nucleotides) under Gossypium raimondii (Peruvian cotton). RNAcentral's name for it is "long non-coding RNA (GRAI_LNC007063)". Lineage: Eukaryota; Viridiplantae; Streptophyta; Magnoliopsida; Malvales; Malvaceae. The record is from RNAcentral.